GAUGGACGCUGGCGGCGUGCCUAAUACAUGCAAGUCGAGCGAACAGACGAGGAGCUUGCUCCUCUGACGUUAGCGGCGGACGGGUGAGUAACACGUGGAUAACCUACCUAUAAGACUGGGAUAACUUCGGGAAACCGGAGCUAAUACCGGAUAAUAUAUUGAACCGCAUGGUUCAAUAGUGAAAGACGGUUUUGCUGUCACUUAUAGAUGGAUCCGCGCCGCAUUAGCUAGUUGGUAAGGUAACGGCUUACCAAGGCGACGAUGCGUAGCCGACCUGAGAGGGUGAUCGGCCACACUGGAACUGAGACACGGUCCAGACUCCUACGGGAGGCAGCAGUAGGGAAUCUUCCGCAAUGGGCGAAAGCCUGACGGAGCAACGCCGCGUGAGUGAUGAAGGUCUUCGGAUCGUAAAACUCUGUUAUUAGGGAAGAACAAAUGUGUAAGUAACUAUGCACGUCUUGACGGUACCUAAUCAGAAAGCCACGGCUAACUACGUG
This 497-nucleotide ribosomal RNA is filed under the name uncultured bacterium. RNAcentral describes it as "partial 16S ribosomal RNA". It matches the Rfam family "Bacterial small subunit ribosomal RNA", at positions 28 to 507 of the family's 1533-position model. The record is from RNAcentral.